AUAUAUACAGGCCAUGUUUCUAGCGCAGAGGUUGAACAUGCAUGGGGAGACACCCCAUACCAUAAAUGAGAGUAGUGCUAGGGCUUUGAUUAGUCAAAAAGAAGAAAGAAAAUUCCUUGUGAAUGGUUCUAGAAGUGUAAUGCACAAGAGGGAAUCUUCCAUAGCGAGAAAGGCUUUAAGUACACCGGCAAAACUCAGAAGAGGGAAAGAGAGAUGAUGGCAGCAGAUACCACCUCCUCCAAUGGAUUUUGGCAGUUGAACUCUCCAUUGCCAUACCUGUUUGUUGGGUUGGCUCUACUGCUGGGCGUUAUAGCGGUUGCACUCAUCAAACUAACCUGCUCGCACAAACACCCUCCUGCAGACUUGGCAACUGAUGAUGACAAAGAUAAGCCACCAAAACCGAUGCACACAGACCCAGACACCGUGCUCGUAGUCAUGGCAGGAGACGACAGCCCCAAGUACCUGGCAAAGCCCAUGGCGUCGACUACCCAUACUGAGCAAGUCUGAGCUGGGGAUCGUCCCUCAAAGUAGGCAUGAAGUUCUUUAUUUUCUCCUUACAGUACUAUGGGCUUUUGUGUUUGUCAGAAUUCUCGGGAAUAUGUAAGUUUUUUAGGUUAGAGGGGAUGUUAAUCAUCUUGUAAAUUAGCUAUAUAUCGAUCCAUCUAAUAUAUCGUUCAUUAUUUCUCCUUCUCUUUUAUUA
Molecule: long non-coding RNA, 700 nt
Organism: Vitis riparia (riverbank grape)
Lineage: Eukaryota; Viridiplantae; Streptophyta; Magnoliopsida; Vitales; Vitaceae
Exons: 2
Source: RefSeq, a predicted model, not a curated record